UUUUUGGUACCACAAACCAGUGACAUGGCCUGAGAGGACGAAAUGCAAAAAAAAAAUUACAAAUUAAUUAUCUUCUUCCUCAAUUUAUCUCUAACCUCCAUUUUUAUCAUCUGCAAUCCCCAUUUUGUCAUCUCCAACCUCCAUUUUUUCUCAUCUUCAACCUCGAACCUCUAUUUUUUUAUCCCGAACCUCCAUUUUUUUUAUCCUCAACCUCCAUUUUUUUCUCAUCUCCAACCUCCAACCUCCAUUUUUUCAUCUUCA
This 261-nucleotide long non-coding RNA is filed under the name Lathyrus oleraceus (garden pea). RNAcentral describes it as "Pisum sativum (pea) long non-coding RNA (PSAT_LNC039396)". Lineage: Eukaryota; Viridiplantae; Streptophyta; Magnoliopsida; Fabales; Fabaceae. The record is from RNAcentral.